GCCUUCGUAGUGCAGCGGUCAGCACGCUCGACGUGUAUUCGAGAGGUCCGUGGUUCGAAACCCGGCGAGGGCA
This is a non-coding RNA of Stegodyphus dumicola, 73 nucleotides long. NCBI's taxonomy places the organism in Eukaryota, Metazoa, Arthropoda, Arachnida, Araneae, Eresidae. The record is from the annotation of a RefSeq genome assembly.